Molecule: transfer RNA, 67 nt
Filed under: Eurydema gebleri (shield bug)
Lineage: Eukaryota; Metazoa; Arthropoda; Insecta; Hemiptera; Pentatomidae
Description: tRNA-Asp
Source: RNAcentral
AAAGAUUUAGUUUAUAAAAACAUUAAUUUGUCAAAUUAAAAAUAUUUAAUUUAUUAAAUAAUCUUUA